CAUGUCCCAGCUCUUCAUUGCUUUUACCUGUUUAGAAAAGUUUUAAGUUGUUAGCCAAAUGGGUUUUAGUUUAGAUUGUGAGGUCUGGCUCCAGCCAACGGAGAUCAGACGCAGCAGUAAGGACAACCUCAAAUGCGUAAGGGAUAAAUUUGUGUGUUUUCCUUUGUUCAUUGUACUCUCGUGGCAAGAUGGCUAGCGAGGGUCCCCUUCCUGCAGUCCAGGAAGUAAAAACUGCGUUGCUGAAAGAUCCUUUGUCUCGUUGCUGAUUUUUCUUUGCAGCACUGAGCAUCUAUUUCCAACAACAUUGUACUUGGCUGUUUUCUAGUCGGCCUAAGCACAUUCUGAGCUUCUGGAAGAUUUUACUAGGUCAGCAGCUGCAGCUGAAAUGAGCCAAGAAUGCUCGCUCUGGGUGGCAAAGAAACACCGCAGGCUGGGAGCGCCGUCUCUUUACCGUCGUGGGCCACUUUCUCAGAGCGCACUGAGUUCACACAGAACCUACUCUGCCACCGCUUGUUUUAUUUUUAAAGGGACAUGGAUGAAUCUGGAGAACGUCAUCCUCAGCAAACUGACACAAGAACAGAAAACGAAACACCGCAUAUUCUCACUCAUAGGCGGUUGAUGAAAAAUGAGAACACAUGGACACAGAAAGGGGAGUACUAAACACUGGGUUCUAUUGGGGGGAAAUGGGGAGGGCCAGUGGGAGGGGGAGGUGGGGAGGGAUAGCCUGGGGAGAAAUGCCAAAUGUGGGUGAAGGGGAGAAAGAAAGCAAAACACACUGCCAUGUGUGUACCUAUGCAACUGUCUUGCAUGUUCUGCACAUGUACCCCCAAACCUAAAAUGCAAUAAAAAAUUUAAAAAAUUCCAUUUCUCUUUCUUAAAAAAAAAAAAAAAAAAAAGAAGAGCGGAAGACAAAGCUCUCACAGUUCUUGGUCAUUUUCUAGUUGCAAGCUGUGAUUUCUGAAGAAUCCUGUGGAAUCUUCUCCUUAUAGACACUCUUAACAAGCUAGCUAAAGUGAGUGUCUACUCCCUUCGUAGAAAAAAAAGAGGGGAAUGCAUCCUUAUUCUUAGAGCCAUGAUUGUCACCAUUAUCAUGUACUCAUCCAAAGAAAUGUUUCUUGACCUUCUGCUAUAUAGAGUUCUCUGCUGCACCCUGGGGAUAAAAUGAUAAACUAAACAGAGCCCUUGCCAUGCGAGGACCUGCCUCAGUCUAAUGGGAAAUGCACACAAGCAAACUGGCCACUACAGGCCAGUGUGAGAAGCAGUCAAAUGAAGGAUACAAUCUUGGCAGGCUGCCCAGUGAGGGCAGGCUUUCAAUGGGCCCCGGGGAUGAGUAGGAGUGUGUCAGCCAGGGCCAGGCUAAAGGCAGGAUAGGAUGGUGAGUGCUUCAGGCAGAAAGACAGUGCUGGAGACAGGCCAGUUAACCAUGACCAUUUUGGGCUCUGGGGCUAACAGUCCCGAUUAUAGACAUUUCUUGCUCUGUUACCUACAUUUCAUGCUAACAUAACAAAGAUCAGUUUUUACCCCGAUGCCUGGUGUUACAGACAGCUCAGUCAUGGCCUUAAUAUUAUUAACCAUUCUUAAUUAAAUAUAUUCUCCAGGUAGUACCUGAUGGCCAUACCUCUCCUUACAAACACUCUUGAAAUUUUAACACUCAGAAAUCUAAAACCAAUUAACAAUGUAUUGCUAAAGAUUUCUUUGGGAAAGUUUGGCUCUUUAGAAGGACUUAGCAAAGAGUAUUAAUUUAAGCUGUUUUGCUAUGUUAAAAUGUCAGCACACCAGUUACAGGCGUCCUCCUUCGGUGUGUGUCCUGGGAAUACAUACUAAGACAGCAUCACGUGUUUAUGGUCCUUCUGUGUAUGAUUGAUCAGAUUAUUUUUCAUCAAAAUGUACCCCCCCAUUCUAUUCUGUUCCUUCUGACAAAAAUGCUAGGAUUCUUUCCAAGGGAAGACUUCUGUUGUCUUGGUCUCAGCCACUGAAGGACUUUUGUCGUUGCUGGUUCCAUUCAAGUGCAAUGACAAAUUACUGAGGUCAGUUGACAAUUCCUGUCUGAGGUCCAUGAUGGAAUGUUCUAGAACUCAAUUCUUCAGGCUCCCUCCUUGGUUUAUCUCUUAGUUCUUUCUAUUAUUCUCUUGAUUUCCUAAUUAAUGAAAAAAACUUGUUUUUUUUUUUUUACAAAACAAUUUUUUAAAAUAGAGUCUAUUUAGUGAGAACAAUGCUUGUGCUAAUUGAGAUGUUACUGAAAUGUUUUGAUAUUAAAAAGUAAUGACUUUUAGAUAGAAAAGAGCCCCACUGGUGACUGCAUCUAAACCAUUUGUAGUGAAAAAUUACAACCUUUCUCCAGUGACCUAUGUGAUGUUAGACUGCUGUGUAAUAGCUUCAAGCCUCAGUUUUCUCAAGCAUAAAAGUGGCUUAUUAGACUGGAUUAUCUGAAAGGUGUCUGCCCACUCCAAAAUGCUAUGACUCUUUACAAUGUAGGAAAGAGAGACUGAGGAGCUUGCCUGAGGCACACUCUGCUGCCAAAAGGAUGCUACCCAGCCUCAGAGUUGUAAGCCCAAGCUUCUUUCCACUUUCUAAGGUGUUAAAUAGUUUGUUUAUGACUAAAGUUCUAUCCUAGGCACUGUUUUUAUUGUUAUUCAAAACACAACUGCAAUCAAUAUUUGUCAGAUACAAAGGGCAGCAACAUGAGAAAAAUGAUUUUCUAAAUGGUCCCCAGAUUCUUAGUACAAGCCCUGACUAAGGCUGUAUUUAGAAUACUCAUAAGCUCCAUUUGCUAUGAUGACAUGCCUUUCUCUCUUUUUUGUAGUGACCUUCAUAGUUAUAAUAGAUAGGUUCUAAUAUUUUCAUUUUAGGUAGUAGUACAGCAAUAUAAAUUAACUCAUUUGUUCCCAGAGAAUGUGCCAUGAUCUCAUCACUGAGAGUAAACAAACAGCUUAUCUGAAAUGUUUGCUGAGGAGUUUGAGAGAGACGGUGCUGUCAAGCAUGUUAGGAGUGGCUGGGAAGGUUGUUGGCUGGGAAUAGUUGGAAAGAAUUGGAGGGUGGCUGGGUAGAAGUUGGAGGGGGCAAUUGGAAGCACAGUUGGGGAUAUAAAUUUGAGUCUAGAGAAUUUAGAUGCCUGUAUACACCAAGCCAACUAUAAUUUGGAAUUUAUAACUGUAUAGCAAUAUGGAGAUGAAGGUCAAUUUAAUUUAAGUGGACACUUCAGAAUACAGACUCAAAGGGUAACCAAGAUUUCAGGGAUGAUGAUCAACCUGUACUUAGAGGGCCCCUGUUGUAGCCCCCUUCCCACCAUGCUCCUCCUUACCAGGUGAGCAGUCUGUGAACAAAACAGUAGUGCUCAUCUGUACCCCCUCCCUCACUUUCUUGACCUCAUUCUAGGUAACCAAGGCCCUGGUAUUCCCUGUCCACACAGCCUUGAUCUUGCUUCCAAGCUCUGUAAAGAUGUUUUUCUCAGAUUUGUCCUAUGAAGGGUACCUAUACCUCUGGUGCAUGUGUCCCCAGGCCAUAAGGGUGGCUGCAGUUUGGCUGUUUAUAGAUAUAAGCAGUGAUUGAAGCUUGGCUGAGAGGGCAGGGGUGUUCACACAUAGGUGGGCACAUGAGUAAUUUUGAGAGCUUAAAGAAUUUUUAAACUUGAAGUUGGCCUUUUAAGUCAUUUGAAGGUAUAUUUGCCAAAGUAGUAUAG
Long non-coding RNA from Callithrix jacchus (white-tufted-ear marmoset), 3679 nucleotides. The record is from Ensembl. Lineage: Eukaryota; Metazoa; Chordata; Mammalia; Primates; Cebidae.